GACGAACCGUGCGAACGUUGUUCGGAUUCACUGGGCUUAAAGGGCGCGUAGGCGGCUUGCCAAGUCAGGGGUGAAAUCUUUCGGCUCAACCGGAAAAGUGCUUCUGAUACUGGCGGGCUGGAGUACGGUAGGGGCAGAGGGAAUUUCCGGUGGAGCGGUGAAAUGCAUUGAGAUCGGAAAGAACACCAACGGCGAAAGCACUCUGCUGGGCCGACACUGACACUGAGAGACGAAAGCUAGGGGAGCAAAUGGG
Molecule: ribosomal RNA, 253 nt
Filed under: uncultured bacterium
Lineage: Bacteria
Description: partial 16S ribosomal RNA
Rfam family: Bacterial small subunit ribosomal RNA
Source: RNAcentral